Transfer RNA from Trametes pubescens, 93 nucleotides. It matches the Rfam family "tRNA". Rfam says of the family: Transfer RNA (tRNA) molecules are approximately 80 nucleotides in length. The record is from Rfam. Lineage: Eukaryota; Fungi; Basidiomycota; Agaricomycetes; Polyporales; Polyporaceae.
GGCGAGAUGGCCGAGCGGUCUAAGGCGCCAGACUAAGGCGGCUCUUCGCAUAUCUGGUCCUCACGGGCGUGGGUUCGAAUCCCACUCUCGUCA